Molecule: ribosomal RNA, 373 nt
Filed under: uncultured organism
Description: partial 16S ribosomal RNA
Rfam family: Bacterial small subunit ribosomal RNA
Source: RNAcentral
GUAGGCGGCAAGCGUUGUCCGGAAUUAUUGGGCGUAAAGCGCGCGCAGGCGGUUCUUUAAGUCUGAUGUGAAAGCCCACGGCUCAACCGUGGAGGGUCAUUGGAAACUGGAGAACUUGAGUACAGAAGAGGAAAGCGGAGUUCCACGUGUAGCGGUGAAAUGCGUAGAGAUGUGGAGGAACACCAGUGGCGAAGGCGGCUUUCUGGUCUGUAACUGACGCUGAGGCGCGAAAGCGUGGGGAGCAAACAGGGAUUAGAUACCCUGGUAGUCCACGCCGUAAACGAUGAGUGCUAAGUGUUAGGGGGUUUCCGCCCCCCUUAGUGCUGCAGCUAACGCAUUAAGCACUCCGCCUGGGAGUACGGCCGCAAGGCUG